Molecule: long non-coding RNA, 743 nt
Organism: Oncorhynchus tshawytscha (Chinook salmon)
Lineage: Eukaryota; Metazoa; Chordata; Actinopteri; Salmoniformes; Salmonidae
Source: Ensembl
GAAAAGAUGGUACUCCUCAGGCAGGAUGCAGGAGUGGGGGUAGAAGUUGUACUCCCCAGGCAGGAUGCAGGAGUGGGGGUAGAAGUUGUACUCCUCAGGCAGGAUCCAGGAGCGGGGAUAGAAGUUGUACUCCCCAGGUAGGAUCCAGGAGCAGUGGUAGAAGUUGUACUCCCCAGGCAGGAUGCAGGAGUGGGGGUAGAAGUUGUACUCCCCAGGUAGGGUCCAGGAGUGGGGGUAGAAGUUGUACUCCCCAGGUAGGAUGCAGGAGCGGGGGUAGAAGUUGUACUCCUCAGGUAGGAUCCAGGAGUGGGGGUAGAAGUUGUACUCCUCAGGUAGGAUCCAGGAGCGGUGGUACUCCUCAGGUAGGAUCCAGGAGCGGUGGUACUCCCCAGGUAGGCUCCAGGAGCGGUGGUAGAAGUUGUACUCCUCAGGUAGGAUCCAGGAGCGGUGGUACUCCUCAGGUAGGAUCCAGGAGCGGUGGUACUCCCCAGGUAGGAUCCAGGAGCGGGGGUAUAAGUUGUACUCCUCAGGUAGGAUCCAGGAGCGGUGGUAGAAAUUGUACUCCUCAGGUAGGAUUCAGGAGCGGUGGUAGAAGUUGUACUCCUCAGGUAGGAUUCAGGAGCGGUGGUACUCCCUAGGUAGGAUCCAGGAGCGGGGGUAGAAUUUGUACUCCUCAGGGAACAGCUCCUGCAUGGUCCUCACCGCUCGGCUCAGGUUGAUCUUUCUCAGCAUCUCUAUCAUAC